GAGUUUGAUCGUGGCUCAGAACGAACGCUGGCGGCAGGCUUAACACAUGCAAGUCGAACGGACCCUGUGGGGCUUGCUCUGCAGGGUUAGUGGCGAACGGGUGCGUAACACGUGAGGAAUCUGUCCUUCGGCGGGGGAGUAGCCGGCCCAACGGCCGGGUAAUACCGCGUACGCUCGUUCCGGGGCGAUCCCGGGACGCGGAAAGCCGCAAGGCGCCGAUGGAGGAUCUCGCGGCCUAUCAGCUAGUUGGCGGGGUAAUGGCCCACCAAGGCGACGACGGGUAGCUGGUCUGAGAGGAUGGCCAGCCACAUUGGGACUGAGACACGGCCCAGACUCCUACGGGAGGCAGCAGUGGGGAAUCUUGCGCAAUGGGCGAAAAGCCUGACGCAGCGACGCCGCGUGUGGGAUGACGGCC
This 415-nucleotide ribosomal RNA is filed under the name uncultured Gemmatimonadota bacterium. Its description in RNAcentral is "bacterial SSU rRNA". It matches the Rfam family "Bacterial small subunit ribosomal RNA", at positions 9 to 416 of the family's 1533-position model. Lineage: Bacteria; Pseudomonadati; Gemmatimonadota. The record is from RNAcentral.